Molecule: non-coding RNA, 45 nt
Organism: Schistosoma haematobium
Lineage: Eukaryota; Metazoa; Platyhelminthes; Trematoda; Strigeidida; Schistosomatidae
Source: Rfam
AUCCAGCUGAUGAAUCUUAAAGAGGAAGAAACGUGCGUCCUGGAU